Molecule: ribosomal RNA, 253 nt
Filed under: uncultured bacterium
Lineage: Bacteria
Description: partial 16S ribosomal RNA
Rfam family: Bacterial small subunit ribosomal RNA
Source: RNAcentral
UACAGAGGUCUCAAGCGUUGUUCGGAUUCAUUGGGCGUAAAGGGUGCGUAGGCGGCGCGGUAAGUCGGGUGUGAAAGCCCCCGGCUCAACUGGGGAGGGUCACGCGAUACUGAUCGACUCGAAGGCAGGAGAGGGAAGUGGAAUUCCCGGUGUAGUGGUGAAAUGCGUAGAUAUCGGGAGGAACACCAGUGGCGAAGGCGACUUCCUGGCCUGUUCUUGACGCUGAGGCGCGAAAGCUAGGGGAGCAAACGGG